CAGUCGCCGCGGUAAUACGAAGGGGGCUAGCGUUGUUCGGAAUUACUGGGCGUAAAGCGCACGUAGGCGGAUAUUUAAGUCAGGGGUGAAAUCCAAGAGCCCAACUCUGGAACUGCCUUUGACACUGGGUAUCUUGAGUAUGGAAGAGGUGAGUGGAAUUCCGAGUGUAGAGGUGAAAUUCGUAGAUAUUCGGAGGAACACCAGUGGCGAAGGCGGCUCACUGGUCCAUUACUGACGCUGAGGUGCGAAAGCGUGGGGAGCAAACAGGAUUAGAUACCCCUGUAGUCCCUGUCUCUUAUAC
This 301-nucleotide ribosomal RNA is filed under the name uncultured bacterium. Its description in RNAcentral is "partial 16S ribosomal RNA". It matches the Rfam family "Bacterial small subunit ribosomal RNA", at positions 509 to 807 of the family's 1533-position model. The record is from RNAcentral.